AACGAACGCUGGCGGCAGGCUUAACACAUGCAAGUCGAACGCCCCGCAAGGGGAGUGGCAGACGGGUGAGUAACACGUGGGGAUCUGCCCAAUGGUACGGAAUAAUUCCGGGAAACUGGGACUAAUACCGUAUGUGCCCGCAAGGGGAAAGAUUUAUCGCCAUUGGAUGAACCCGCGUCGGAUUAGCUAGUUGGUGAGGUAAAGGCUCACCAAGGCGACGAUCCGUAGCUGGUCUGAGAGGAUGAUCAGCCACACUGGGACUGAGACACGGCCCAGACUCCUACGGGAGGCAGCAGUGGGGAAUAUUGGACAAUGGGCGCAAGCCUGAUCCAGCCAUGCCGCGUGAGUGAUGAAGGCCUUAGGGUUGUAAAGCUCUUUCGCCGACGAAGAUAAUGACGGUAGUCGGAGAAGAAGCCCCGGCUAACUUCGUGCCAGCAGCCGCCGCGG
RNAcentral lists this ribosomal RNA (447 nucleotides) under uncultured bacterium. RNAcentral describes it as "partial 16S ribosomal RNA". It matches the Rfam family "Bacterial small subunit ribosomal RNA", at positions 29 to 523 of the family's 1533-position model. The record is from RNAcentral.